AAAAAUGUGAUGAGCCACUUGUCUCUGGACUCCCCCAUGGGGCUUUCAGCAGCUCCUCUUCCAUCUCUGGUAGCUAUUCUCCCGGCUAUGCCAAGAUAAACAAGAGAGGAGGUGCUGGUGGAUGGUCUCCAUCAGACAGUGACCAUUAUCAAUGGCUUCAGGUUGACUUUGGCAAUCGGAAGCAGAUCAGUGCCAUUGCAACCCAAGGAAGAUAUAGCAGCUCAGAUUGGGUGACCCAAUACCGGAUGCUCUACAGCGACACAGGGAGAAAUUGGAAACCCUAUCAUCAAGAUGGGAAUAUCUGGGCGUUUCCUGGAAACAUCAACUCUGAUGGUGUGGUCCGGCACGAAUUACAGCAUCCGGUUAUCGCCCGCUAUGUGCGCGUAGUGCCUCUGGAUUGGAAUGGAGAAGGUCGCACUGGACUCAGAAUUGAAGUUUAUGGCUGUUCUUACUGGGCUGAUGUUAUCAACUUUGAUGGCCAUGUUGUAUUACCAUAUAGAUUCAGAAACAAGAAGAUGAAAACACUGAAAGAUGUCAUUGCCUUGAAAUUUAAGACGUCUGAAAGUGAAGGAGUAAUCUUGCACGGAGAAGGACAGCAAGGAGAUUACAUUACCUUGGAACUGAAAAAAGCCAAGCUGGUCCUCAGUUUAAACUUAGGAAGCAACCAGCUUGGCCCCAUAUAUGGCCACACAUCAGUGAUGACAGGAAGUUUGCUGGAUGACCACCACUGGCACUCUGUGAUCAUUGAGCGCCAGGGGCGGAGCAUUAACCUCACUCUGGACAGGAGCAUGCAGCACUUCCGCACCAAUGGAGAGUUUGACUAUCUGGACUUGGACUAUGAGAUAACCUUUGGAGGCAUCCCUUUCUCUGGCAAGCCCAGUUCCAGCAGUAGAAAGAAUUUCAAAGGCUGCAUGGAGAGCAUCAACUACAAUGGCAUCAACAUUACUGAUCUUGCCAGAAGGAAGAAAUUAGAGCCCUCAAAUGUGGGAAAUUUGAGCUUUUCUUGUGUGGAACCCUAUACGGUGCCUGUCUUUUUCAAUGCUACAAGUUACCUGGAGGUGCCCGGACGGCUUAACCAGGACCUGUUCUCAGUCAGUUUCCAGUUUAGGACAUGGAACCCCAAUGGUCUCCUGGUCUUCAGUCACUUUGCAGAUAAUUUGGGCAAUGUGGAGAUUGACCUCACUGAAAGCAAAGUGGGUGUUCACAUCAACAUCACACAGACCAAGAUGAGCCAAAUCGAUAUUUCCUCAGGUUCUGGGUUGAAUGAUGGACAGUGGCACGAGGUUCGCUUCCUAGCCAAGGAAAAUUUUGCUAUUCUCACCAUCGAUGGAGAUGAAGCAUCAGCAGUUCGAACUAAUAGUCCUCUUCAAGUUAAAACUGGCGAGAAGUACUUUUUUGGAGGUUUUCUGAACCAGAUGAAUAACUCAAGUCACUCUGUCCUUCAGCCUUCAUUCCAAGGAUGCAUGCAGCUCAUUCAAGUGGACGAUCAACUUGUAAAUUUAUACGAAGUGGCACAAAGGAAGCCGGGAAGUUUUGCGAAUGUCAGCAUUGACAUGUGUGCAAUCAUAGACAGAUGUGUGCCCAAUCACUGUGAGCAUGGUGGAAAGUGCUCGCAAACAUGGGACAGCUUCAAAUGCACUUGUGAUGAGACAGGAUACACUGGGGCCACCUGCCACAACUCUAUCUAUGAGCCUUCCUGUGAAGCCUACAAACACCUAGGCCAGACGUCAAAUUAUUACUGGAUAGAUCCUGAUGGCAGUGGACCUCUGGGGCCUCUGAAAGUUUACUGCAACAUGACAGAGGACAAAGUGUGGACCAUAGUGUCUCAUGACUUGCAGAUGCAGACGACUGUGGUCAGCUACAACCCAGAAAAACACUCAGUGAUACAGCUCGUUUACAGCGCCUCCAUGGACCAGAUAAGUGCCAUCACUGACAGUGCCGAGUACUGCGAGCAGUACAUCUCCUAUUUCUGCAAGAUGUCAAGGUUGUUGAACACCCCAGGCCUGCUAAUCUACAGAAUAGCUGAUGCAAGGAAAAGGAGUGGUUGAGACAGCAAGUUCCUUGUAUUAUUAUAUUUUGUAUAUGUC
Molecule: small RNA, 2087 nt
Filed under: Pongo abelii (Sumatran orangutan)
Lineage: Eukaryota; Metazoa; Chordata; Mammalia; Primates; Hominidae
Description: processed transcript
Source: RNAcentral